ACGAACGCUGGCGGCGUGCUUAACACAUGCAAGUCGAACGAUGAAGCCCUUCGGGGUGGAUUAGUGGCGAACGGGUGAGUAACACGUGGGCAAUCUGCCCUUCACUCUGGGACAAGCCCUGGAAACGGGGUCUAAUACCGGAUAAUACUUUCUCCCUCCUGGGAGAAGGUUGAAAGCUCCGGCGGUGAAGGAUGAGCCCGCGGCCUAUCAGCUAGUUGGUGGGGUAAUGGCCUACCAAGGCGACGACGGGUAGCCGGCCUGAGAGGGCGACCGGCCACACUGGGACUGAGACACGGCCCAGACUCCUACGGGAGGCAGCAGUGGGGAAUAUUGCACAAUGGGCGAAAGCCUGAUGCAGCGACGCCGCGUGAGGGAUGACGGCCUUCGGGUUGUAAACCUCUUUCAGCAGGGAAGAAGCGAAAGUGACGGUACCUGCAGAAGAAGCGCCGGCUAACUACGUGCCAGCAGCCGCGGUAAUACGUAGGGCGCAAGCGUUGUCCGGAAUUAUUGGGCGUAAAGAGCUCGUAGGCGGCUUGUCACGUCGGUUGUGAAAGCCCGGGGCUUAACCCCGGGUCUGCAGUCGAUACGGGCAGGCUAGAGUGUGGUAGGGGAGAUCGGAAUUCCUGGUGUAGCGGUGAAAUGCGCAGAUAUCAGGAGGAACACCGGUGGCGAAGGCGGAUCUCUGGGCCAUUACUGACGCUGAGGAGCGAAAGCGUGGGGAGCGAACAGGAUUAGAUACCCUGGUAGUCCACGCCGUAAACG
This 762-nucleotide ribosomal RNA is filed under the name bacterium. RNAcentral describes it as "bacterial SSU rRNA". It matches the Rfam family "Bacterial small subunit ribosomal RNA", at positions 29 to 808 of the family's 1533-position model. The record is from RNAcentral.